Molecule: ribosomal RNA, 473 nt
Filed under: Larinus planus
Lineage: Eukaryota; Metazoa; Arthropoda; Insecta; Coleoptera; Curculionidae
Description: partial 16S ribosomal RNA
Rfam family: Bacterial large subunit ribosomal RNA
Source: RNAcentral
CUUUUUGAUAAUAAUUUAAGGUCCGGCCUGCCCAAUGAUUUUUAAAUGGCCGCGGUACUUUGACCGUGCAAAGGUAGCAUAAUCAUUAGUUUUUUAAUUGAAAGCUGGAAUGAAAGGUCAGAUGAGAAVAUAGCUGUCUCUAUCUAAAUUUAUUAGAAUUUUAUUUUUAAGUUAAAAAGCUUAAAUAUAUAUAAAAGACGAGAAGACCCUAUAGAGUUUUAUAAUUUCAWUAUUUAKAGUUUUUAGUAUUGUAAUGUUUAAAAAAUGAAAUUAUUUAGUUGGGGUGAUUGAAAAAUUAAAUAAACUUUUUUUUUAUUUAAACAUUANUUUAUGAUUGDDUGAUCCUUAUUUAAAGAUUAAAAGAAUAAAUUACCUUAGGGAUAACAGCGUAAUUUUUUUUGAGAGUUCAAAUCGAAAAAAAAGAUUGCGNCCUCGAUGUUGGAUUAAAAUUAAUUUUUGGUGUAGGGGCUAAA